Molecule: non-coding RNA, 537 nt
Organism: Myodes glareolus (Bank vole)
Lineage: Eukaryota; Metazoa; Chordata; Mammalia; Rodentia; Cricetidae
Source: RefSeq, a predicted model, not a curated record
GAAAGUUUCAGCAUGGCCAAGGUGGCCAGGAAACCUCCAAAACCUAGUGCAGAUGCAGCACCCUCGGCCUCAAAGUCCAAUAUGAAGAAGAAGAAGCAGCAGAAAACUGCCCAUCAUCCCAAGCACAGCUCCACGCAGAAGACCCAGUGAUACUGCCAUUGCCAAUGUGCUCGGAAGGUGACCAGAAAGGAGAAGCAAUCCUUGCGAAUGACUACUAGAAAAAACGCUUCUAUGAAAAUCAUCCGAACGAGAAUUCCUAAGGGACCUCGUGAAACAGCGCCGCCAGAACUCAUUCACGAACAAACGGGUGAGAAUGAUGACAACCUGAGUGCCCCUGAUCAGGGUCAACUGGGCUAUGACCCCUCCCGCAUUUGUGUUGAGGACCUGACCAGCUCCUAGCCUCAAAGCACAGAUGAAGAUCUAAGAAACACCAAUGCAUAGGUCUGGCUGCUGAGUCAUGGCCAGUGAUGUGAAAAGUACAUUUCAACACAAAGCCAAGUUCAUGGUGGUGCCAAUAAAAGUAAACAGAUGAGAAAA